GUGUCAGCCGCCGCGGUAAGACGAACCGAGCGAACGUUGUUCGGAAUCACUGGGCUUAAAGGGCGCGUAGGCGGGCUGUCAAGUCUGGGGUGAAAUCCCGCGGCUCAACCGUGGAACUGCCUCAGAUACUGACGGUCUCGAGGGAGGUAGGGGCGAGCGGAACUGAUGGUGGAGCGGUGAAAUGCGUUGAUAUCAUCAGGAACUCCGGUGGCGAAGGCGGCUCGCUGGACCUCUUCUGACGCUGAGGCGCGAAAGCCAGGGGAGCAAACGGGAUUAGAAACCCUCGUAGUCC
This 292-nucleotide ribosomal RNA is filed under the name uncultured bacterium. RNAcentral's name for it is "partial 16S ribosomal RNA". It matches the Rfam family "Bacterial small subunit ribosomal RNA", at positions 505 to 796 of the family's 1533-position model. The record is from RNAcentral.